UUAUAGAAUAAAACAAUUCUAUUUUAUUUCUAAUUUUAUAAUAUAUCUCUAUAAAUAAUUUAUGGACUAAAAAUCCAAGUGCAGCCUUUCCUGCGCACAGGGCCGGCCCAGCCUCCCUCUCCCACCCGUCCCCUCCCAUCCCUUCCCGCCUCCCUCCCCGCCCUCUGCUUCCACCCUCCUUCCCCUGCCUCAGCCCUAUUCACCCUCAGGACAGCUGCCCUGGACAAUGCCCCCCGGCCGGGCUUGGAGCCCCUGAACUUCCCCUCAUCACAGGUGAAAUGGGAAAAAAAAGGUGUGACCACCUAAUUCACCGCCAUGGCUCCCAGAGAUGGCAAGAUGCCCGAGGGCGUGUCUGUGGGGUCCCCGUGAUCCCAGGGCCUGGCACGCUGGAAGCUGUCUUGACGCAGAUGUGGUCACAGAGGUGCAGCGUGGCCCGUGACUUGCUCAGAGCCACACAGAAGUGCAGAGCGGAACAGAACAGUCGCCUGCCAUGGGGUGCCUCAUCCACACACCUUCCAACUCAGCAAGGAGGGUGGGGCUCAGAGGGGAGCCACUGUCGGUGAACUCCGGCACCCCCCGCCACCCAGCCGUCCGACCCCCAACAACUCCCCUCCUGGUUUGCUCCUCAGCUGAACACGACUGACUCCUCUUGAUUGUUGUGCUCAGAGGAGCCUCCCUCAUGACCUCCGCCCCCUUCUGUCUGGGAGAGGCUGGGGGCAGGGCAGGGUGCCGGGAGGAGGGGCCGGUUCCGAGGGCAGCCUGUGGGCAGAGUGCCAACUGCUGGAUGGAAGGUCCUGGAGCAAGGAGAGGAUGCAGAUAGCGGGGAAGGAGGGAGCCAGGGAGAAUCAGACGCGGGAAGGACGGAGGGGAAAGUCGGGGCGGGGGCCUCUCUCCUCUUUCAGCCGUGGGCUUGGAGAAGAUGACUUGGCUCCACCUUCUGGCUGGACAGAGCUGCCUUCCCAAUCUGCUGCCUCCUCCUUUGAGCACCUACUAUGCGCCAGGUGCUUUGUAUGUGCCGCCUCUUAACCCACACCACCACCCUCCACAGAAGAGAACAGUCUCCAUUUUGCAAGUGAAAAAAACUAAAGUUCAGAGAGGUUAGGUAAGUCGCCCAAACCACACAGCUAAUAAAAAUGAAAAUAGAAAACGGAAAAUGAAAACAUUUAUUCACCCAUCCCACAAAUAAUUUUGCAGUGCCUACUUGUGCCUGACACGGCUAAGCACUUCAGAAACAUCAGCUCACUGAAUCGUCAUAGUAACUGCUAGAACCUUUCCCAAAGCGUUCAGCCUCCCGCUGGCUCUGCCUCCGACAGUAGAUUCCCCACCCUGGGGCCCCUGCGGCCACUCUACAGGGAGAAUUAACGCUGGAAGAUUCGAAUUCAGUGAAUCUGAUAUUCGAGUUUAAACAGGAAUCAGGAGGUCGUUUAUGAGGGGCGGUUCAGAGGGGGACCGGAUCGCUGGCCACUUUCUGUCCUCCUCCAUCGGUCCAGCCAGUCCAGGAGAAGGGCCUGGGCAGCCAGCCUGGACCCCAGACUGUGUCCCGAAGGGCCCUCACCUGCCCUACCUCUGUUUCUGGUCUUGUUGCACCUUCGCAGGGAAGUGGCAGAAGACGUGUCCGCAUCCGGGGCUUUAUGAGAUGAGGAAAUGGGGCGCAAGUGUCUUGGCUGAGAUUCCAGGACCCCCUUGCUCACCCCCACUCUUUGCCUGAGGGGGACAGAGCCAGGAUUUAAACUCCAAGGAGCCUGAAUCCAGCACCCGAGGCCACAUUCGUCGCCUGCUUCUCCCACGUCCUCUGCGGGCAUACCCGGGCCUGCCUGUGGCUUCCACGCAUUCACUAACCCUUCGCUGCUUUGUGCUCCCUCUCUCCUUCUCAGAGUGCCUCAAACUCCUUCACAACCUACAAAGCCCUUCGUGUCUGGCCCCUUCCAGCCUCACCAGUCUCGUCACUCACCACUCUGCCUGCAUGCUCCUCUCUCCCCACCUCCACUUGGACCCCAACCCUACAUUCAUUCCCUGCAUUCUCUGCUCCAACCAGAGAGAGUGUGCCAUUCCCCAAAGCCACAUUUUUGGCUGGACGCUGUUUCUUUCCUGCCUGGCUAAUUCCUAUGCAACCCCAGGCCUCAGCCCAACAAGGCUGCCUCUUGGAAGCCUUCUCCACUCCCAACGAACCCCCAAGUGUAGCUGCUCACUUUGACUUACAACCCUUCCUUAAGUCCCUACUAUGCCUCAGGCACAGUGGGGCCACAAUCAAUAAACCAGAUCAGGCCUGCGCUCAUGGAGCUUCCAUCCCGGGGGACCCCACUCUGUGCUCUGGGCUGCCCUCAACACCCACUCCACUUCAUGUUUAC
This 2348-nucleotide long non-coding RNA is filed under the name Equus caballus (horse). RNAcentral's name for it is "lncRNA (ENSECAG00000049457.1)". Lineage: Eukaryota; Metazoa; Chordata; Mammalia; Perissodactyla; Equidae. The record is from RNAcentral.